AUUUGAAAGCUGGCCUUCGGGUCCGCAUUGUAAUUUGUAGAGGAUGCUUUGGGGCAGCCGCCUGUCUAAGUUCCUUGGAACAGGACGUCAUAGAGGGUGAGAAUCCCGUAUGUGACAGGACAUGGCACCCUAUGUAAAGCUCCUUCGACGAGUCGAGUUGUUUGGGAAUGCAGCUCUAAAUGGGAGGUAAAUUUCUUCUAAAGCUAAAUACCGGCGAGAGACCGAUAGCGCACAAGUAGAGUGAUCGAAAGAUGAAAAGCACUUUGGAAAGAGAGUUAAAAAGCACGUGAAAUUGUUGAAAGGGAAGCGCUUGCAAUCAGACUUGUUUUGACUGUUCGGCCGGUCUUCUGACCGGUUUACUCAGUCUGGACAGGCCAGCAUCAGUUUUGGCGGCCGGAUAAAGGCUCAGGGAAUGUGGCUCUCACUUCGGUGGGAGUGUUAUAGCCCUGGGUGUAAUACGGCCAGCCGGGACUGAGGUCCGCGCUUCGGCUAGGAUGCUGGCGUAAUGGUUGUAAGCGA
Molecule: ribosomal RNA, 519 nt
Filed under: Aureobasidium thailandense
Lineage: Eukaryota; Fungi; Ascomycota; Dothideomycetes; Dothideales; Saccotheciaceae
Description: partial large subunit ribosomal RNA
Rfam family: Eukaryotic large subunit ribosomal RNA
Source: RNAcentral